RNAcentral lists this ribosomal RNA (253 nucleotides) under uncultured bacterium. RNAcentral describes it as "partial 16S ribosomal RNA". It matches the Rfam family "Bacterial small subunit ribosomal RNA", at positions 524 to 776 of the family's 1533-position model. The record is from RNAcentral.
UACGUAGGGUGCGAGCGUUAAUCGGAAUUACUGGGCGUAAAGCGUGCGCAGGCGGUUCGUUGUGUCGGUGGUGAAAUCCCCGGGCCUAACCUGGGAACUGCAUUUGUGACUGCAUAGCUAGAGUCCGUCAGAGGGGGGUGGAAUUCCACGUGUAGCAGUGAAAUGCGUAGAGAUGUGGAGGAACACCGAUGGCGAAGGCAGCCCCCUGGGAUGAGACUGACGCUCAUGUACGAAAGCCAGGGGAGCAAACGGG